This 72-nucleotide transfer RNA is filed under the name Rhodococcus qingshengii. RNAcentral describes it as "tRNA-Thr". It matches the Rfam family "tRNA". From Rfam's summary of the family: Transfer RNA (tRNA) molecules are approximately 80 nucleotides in length. Their secondary structure includes four short double-helical elements and three loops (D, anti-codon, and T loops). The record is from RNAcentral. Lineage: Bacteria; Bacillati; Actinomycetota; Actinomycetes; Mycobacteriales; Nocardiaceae.
GCCUCAUUAGCUCAGUGGUAGAGCUGCGCACUUGUAAUGCGCUGGUCCGGCGUUCGAUCCGUCGAUGGGGCU